AUCCCCAGUGAUACGAUUCUCAGAUACACUGCUGCACAGACGUCCUGCAGACACAAUAAAAGUGGUCUACGUACUGAUUCACAGAUUCACUGUUCUUCAUGGAGUGUCCACUUCUGUGUUUGGCCGUCCUGCUCUUUAUGAGUGGAACGGCAACAGGACAAACUACUACAACAUCAGAAAGCAUGUUCCCAUACACAACACAAGGUAAAG
Ictalurus furcatus (blue catfish) is the source of this 210-nucleotide long non-coding RNA. RefSeq lists it as uncharacterized. The transcript is spliced from 4 exons. The record is from RefSeq and is a predicted model, not a curated record. NCBI's taxonomy places the organism in Eukaryota, Metazoa, Chordata, Actinopteri, Siluriformes, Ictaluridae.